This 106-nucleotide small nucleolar RNA is filed under the name Ricinus communis (castor bean). RNAcentral's name for it is "Plant small nucleolar RNA R71". It matches the Rfam family "Plant small nucleolar RNA R71". Rfam says of the family: R71 is a member of the C/D box family of snoRNAs containing the C (UGAUGA) and D (CUGA) box motifs. Multiple nearly identical copies of this snoRNA have been identified in Arabidopsis, and it is thought to function as a 2'-O-ribose methylation guide for 18S ribosomal RNA. The record is from Rfam by way of RNAcentral. Lineage: Eukaryota; Viridiplantae; Streptophyta; Magnoliopsida; Malpighiales; Euphorbiaceae.
AACCCAUGAUGAGGACAAUAUCUCAAAAAAAUCUUAGACCUCUCUUAAGAUCAUAUAAGGACUCAUCUUUCCCUUGUCUAAAAUUUGAAAUUUUGGACCUGAUGAC